GGCAGUUCUCGGGUUAUGCACCCUGGAAUUGGGCUCCCUCCUCUCUGGUUCUGGGUGCAUCACCCGAGAACCGCA
This is a non-coding RNA of Myotis lucifugus (little brown bat), 75 nucleotides long. The record is from Rfam. NCBI's taxonomy places the organism in Eukaryota, Metazoa, Chordata, Mammalia, Chiroptera, Vespertilionidae.